Molecule: ribosomal RNA, 253 nt
Filed under: uncultured bacterium
Lineage: Bacteria
Description: partial 16S ribosomal RNA
Rfam family: Bacterial small subunit ribosomal RNA
Source: RNAcentral
GACGAACCGUGCGAACGUUGUUCGGAUUCACUGGGCUUAAAGGGCGCGUAGGCGGGCGGUCAAGUCAGGGGUGAAAUCUUUCGGCCUAACCGGAAAAGGGCCUCUGAUACUGGCCGUCUCGAGGGAGGUAGGGGCAUGCGGAACUUCCGGUGGAGCGGUGAAAUGCGUAGAUAUCAGGAGGAACACCUGCGGUGUAGACGGCUUUCUGGACCAUUGUUGACGCUGAGACACGAAAGCGUGGGUAGCAAACAGG